Molecule: ribosomal RNA, 57 nt
Filed under: uncultured bacterium
Lineage: Bacteria
Description: partial 16S ribosomal RNA
Source: RNAcentral
AGUGCGCAAACCGCAAGGAUGCAGCUGGCCACGGUAGGAUUAAUGACUUGGGGUGUA